Molecule: long non-coding RNA, 324 nt
Filed under: Elaeis guineensis (African oil palm)
Lineage: Eukaryota; Viridiplantae; Streptophyta; Magnoliopsida; Arecales; Arecaceae
Description: long non-coding RNA (EGUI_LNC046702)
Source: RNAcentral
UCUACUUCUAUUAGCUGACAUGGUACUUCUCAGUUUGGGGUUCUACCACUGUGUUCAACAGAUUGAGGUGCUCUAGCCUGUUUGAGCGUAGGAUCUUUGGGUCGAGAGAUGUCGACUGCGGUGUGAGCUCUAUAGUAAUUAGUUGCCCAUAGCCAGAUGACUCUGUCCUGCCCCGAACUCUUGCUUCAAUGAUUUGUGGUGGAAGUUGGGCUCCAACUCGUCUGACGAAGUGAUGGUUCGCUAUGGUCGAGAGUUUUCUUCAUCCCAAUGUUGUUGAGGAUGCCUGCACUCAUAGAAUGGAGUUCUUCACACCUUUUCAUACUG